GGUCCCAUAGCUCAGUUGGUUAGAGCGUCGUACUAAUAUCACCACCUUUGGUUAUGUUAAGUCCAUGCGAAGGCCGGCGGUUCGAGCCCGCCUGGGACUA
Daldinia grandis is the source of this 100-nucleotide non-coding RNA. The record is from the annotation of a GenBank genome assembly. NCBI's taxonomy places the organism in Eukaryota, Fungi, Ascomycota, Sordariomycetes, Xylariales, Hypoxylaceae.